AGCAGUCGCCGCGGGAAUACGAAGGGUGCAAGCGUUACUCGGAAUUACUGGGCGUAAAGCGUGCGUAGGUGGUGGUUUAAGUCCGUUGUGAAAGCCCUGGGCUCAACCUGGGAAUUGCAGUGGAUACUGGGUCACUAGAGUGUGGUAGAGGAUAGUGGAAUUUCCGGUGUAGCAGUGAAAUGCGUAGAUAUUGGAAGGAACAUCUGUGGCGAAGGCGACUAUCUGGUCCAACACUGACACUGAGGCACGAAAGCGUGGGGAGCAAACAGGAUUAGAUACCCCAGUAGUCCCUGUCUCUUAUAU
This 303-nucleotide ribosomal RNA is filed under the name uncultured bacterium. Its description in RNAcentral is "partial 16S ribosomal RNA". It matches the Rfam family "Bacterial small subunit ribosomal RNA", at positions 507 to 809 of the family's 1533-position model. The record is from RNAcentral.